ACGAACGCUGGCGGCAGGCUUAACACAUGCAAGUCGAACGCCCCGCAAGGGGAGUGGCAGACGGGUGAGUAACGCGUGGGAAUCUACCCAGUUCUACGGAACAACUGAGGGAAACUUCAGCUAAUACCGUAUACGCCCUACGGGGGAAAGAUUUAUCGCUGAGGGAGUGGCCCGCGUCUGAUUAGCUAGUUGGUGAGGUAAAGGCUCACCAAGGCUACGAUCAGUAGCAGGUCUGAGAGGAUGAUCUGCCACACUGGGACUGAGACACGGCCCAGACUCCUACGGGAGGCAGCAGUUAGGAAUAUUGGACAAUGGGCGAAAGCCUGAUCCAGCCAUGCCGCGUGUGUGAUGAAGGCCUUAGGGUUGUAAAGCACUUUCGUUGGGGAUGAUAAUGACCGUACCCAAAGAAGAAGCCACGGCUAAAUUCGUGCCAGCAGCCGCGGUAAUACGAAUGUGGCAAGCGUUGUUCGGAAUCACUGGGCGUAAAGAAUGCGUAGGCGGCUUAACAAGUCGGAAGUGAAAUCCCAGGGCUUAACCCUGGAACUGCUUUCGAAACUGUUUUGCUAGAGUCCCGGAGGGGUUAGCGGAAUUCCGAGUGUAGAGGUGAAAUUCGCAGAUAUUCGGAGGAACACCAGUGGCGAAGGCGGCUAACUGGACGGGAACUGACGCUGAGGCAUGAAAGUGUGGGGAUCAAACAGGAUUAGAUACCCUGGUAGUCCACACCGUAAACGAUGUGUGCUAGUUGUCGGGCAGCUUUGCUGUUCGGUGACGGAGCUAACGUUUUAAGCAUACCGCCUGGGAAGUACGGCCGCAAGGUUAAAACUCAAAGGAAUUGACGGGGACCCGCACAAGCAGUGGAACAUGUCCUU
RNAcentral lists this ribosomal RNA (869 nucleotides) under uncultured bacterium. Its description in RNAcentral is "bacterial SSU rRNA". It matches the Rfam family "Bacterial small subunit ribosomal RNA", at positions 29 to 946 of the family's 1533-position model. The record is from RNAcentral.